GUGUCCUACGGGGGGCAGCAGUGGGGGAUAUUGCACAAUGGGGGGAACCCUGAUGCAGCGACGCCGCGUGGGUGAAGGAGCGUUUCGGCGCGUAAAGCCCUAUCGGCAGGGAAGAAGAUGACGGUACCUGACCAAGAAGCCCCGGCUAACUACGUGCCAGCAGCCGCGGUAAUACGUAUGGGGCAAGCGUUAUCCGGAUUUACUGGGUGUAAAGGGAGCGUAGGCGGCAGGGCAAGCCUGAUGUGAAAGCCCGGGGCUCAACCCCGGGACUGCAUUGGGAAAUGCCCCGCUCGAGUGCCGGGGGG
RNAcentral lists this ribosomal RNA (305 nucleotides) under uncultured bacterium. RNAcentral's name for it is "partial 16S ribosomal RNA". It matches the Rfam family "Bacterial small subunit ribosomal RNA", at positions 334 to 656 of the family's 1533-position model. The record is from RNAcentral.